Ictidomys tridecemlineatus (thirteen-lined ground squirrel) is the source of this 122-nucleotide small nucleolar RNA. The record is from Ensembl. Lineage: Eukaryota; Metazoa; Chordata; Mammalia; Rodentia; Sciuridae.
AGCAUUCUUCUACUGAGCUACACACUCAACCCCUGUGCUCUUAUACUGUAUAUAAAGAGGAAGCAAAGUAUACUUCACCCUAGGCUCUGUGCCUGGUCUGUAUUGUGAAUGGGGAGACAAGG